RNAcentral lists this ribosomal RNA (496 nucleotides) under uncultured bacterium. RNAcentral describes it as "partial 16S ribosomal RNA". It matches the Rfam family "Bacterial small subunit ribosomal RNA", at positions 28 to 507 of the family's 1533-position model. The record is from RNAcentral.
GAUGAACGCUGGCGGCGUGCCUAAUACAUGCAAGUCGAGCGAACAGACGAGGAGCUUGCUUCUCUGACGUUAGCGGCGGACGGGUGAGUAACACGUGGAUAACCUACCUAUAAGACUGGGAUAACUUCGGGAAACCGGAGCUAAUACCGGAUAAUAUAUUGAACCGCAUGGUUCAAUAGUGAAAGACGGUUUUGCUGUCACUUAUAGAUGGAUCCGCGCCGCAUUAGCUAGUUGGUAAGGUAACGGCUUACCAAGGCAACGAUGCGUAGCCGACCUGAGAGGGGAUCGGCCACACUGGAACUGAGACACGGUCCAGACUCCUACGGGAGGCAGCAGUAGGGAAUCUUCCGCAAUGGGCGAAAGCCUGACGGAGCAACGCCGCGUGAGUGAUGAAGGUCUUCGGAUCGUAAAACUCUGUUAUUAGGGAAGAACAAAUGUGUAAGUAACUAUGCACGUCUUGACGGUACCUAAUCAGAAAGCCACGGCUAACUACGUG